RNAcentral lists this long non-coding RNA (1059 nucleotides) under Hordeum vulgare. RNAcentral describes it as "long non-coding RNA (HVUL_LNC011680)". The record is from RNAcentral. Lineage: Eukaryota; Viridiplantae; Streptophyta; Magnoliopsida; Poales; Poaceae.
GACAAACGAUCCAGUCCGCAUCGCGUCCUCCAUCAUCUCUUGAUUUUGCGACGACGACGGUGGCAUCCUCUCCCCCGGUCGCCUCGCCGCGCUCCGGCUGCCUUCUCCCCCUCAUCUCGCCGCUUUUCUUCGUCCGUGUUGCCUGAUACCGACGAGGGGGGAGGGGAGGGGAGAUCAAGAGGAAAGCGAUCCCCUUCUCUGCAAAGCGCUCGAUUUGCCGGCUCAAGGCUACGUGUUGUAGCGCCGAGGCCGGGGCCCAAGGCGAGGGUGCUGGUCGCCCGCCGGGGGAAUCUACGGCCUGGUCUUUGCGCUCGUGGCCAGGCAUAAGGGCUUCCAGCUGCUGGUGGCCCCUCCCAGUGGGCGUGCGGCGCCAGGAGGCGGGUGAGGUACGAGCAAAUUUGAUGUAGUCUGAAUUUAGAGUUGUGUGUAGUGCCAAACUGGAUGAUGUACUGCUCUGAAUUCAGAGUUGUAUGUUCAUGGCCUGAUUUUUCAAUCUAUUUUCAAAACAUUAGUUUCAGUGUGAAUUAAUUUAGACUCAAUGCUCACUGUAAUUUGUGUGUGUAUAUUCUGAUAAUCUUGUGUCUGGCCGCAGGGGAGGAAAUGAGGCAGAGCAACUCUGAGAGAAAUGAGGUAGAGGUGAAGAAAACCUACUGGAGCCGAAGCAUAUGUGCAAAGAGGUGACAUGGGGGUGAUUGGUGACACGAGUUCUGCUUAAGCUAUUAUUUUCCUUGUUUAUCAUCUGCAGAACAGAGUACUUAUGAUAUAAAGACUUGUGUUUCAAAUUGUUUUAGUUUAUAAAUGACUUUGGCCUUUAGAAAUACUCCACACUUGCCUUUUCUCAUAUACAAAUAAGUUUACACCUUUUUUUUAAACUCGUCUCAGAUAUCAAGGUGAGGAUUUUUACAAGGUCUGAUAAGGAUGCAGCCGUCGAAUAUUGCUUUUGGCUCCCGAGCUCACCGGAGGCCUUUAAAUUCAAACUUCAAAUUCAAUGAAAUUUGUAUUUUAAUAUUUUAAAAAAUUCUGGAAAAAAAUGCAUAGAUAGAUGAAGGUAUAAUACAC